GACGAACGCUGGCGGCGUGCUUAACACAUGCAAGUCGAACGGAAAGGCCUGCUUUCCCUUGUGGAUUGCGGGUACUCGAGUGGCGAACGGGUGAGUAACACGUGAGUGAUCUGCCCCCAACUUGGGUAUAAGCCUGGGAAACUGGGUCUAAUUCCCGAUAGGACUGCAGGGUGGUGCCUGUGGUGGAAAACGAUUUUCUAGUGGUUGGGGAUGAGCUCGCGGCCUAUCAGCUUGUUGGUGGGGUAAUGGCCUACCAAGGCGGCGACGGGUAGCCGGCCUGAGAGGGUGGACGGCCACAUUGGGACUGAGAUACGGCCCAGACUCCUACGGGAGGCAGCAGUGGGGAAUAUUGCACAAUGGGCGGAAGCCUGAUGCAGCGACGCCGCGUGGGGGAUGACGGCCUUCGGGUUGUAAACUCCUUUCGACCGCGAGGAAGCCACCUGGUUGGAAGGGUGGUGACGGUAGUGGUAGAAGAGGCACCGGCUAACUACG
Molecule: ribosomal RNA, 492 nt
Filed under: uncultured bacterium
Lineage: Bacteria
Description: partial 16S ribosomal RNA
Rfam family: Bacterial small subunit ribosomal RNA
Source: RNAcentral